ACCCUCUGGCCUGCGAGAUGACGAGGGCGAGUAGCGGGGCCGCUGCUCCCUCGGGAUCCGGGUGUGGCUCGGCUCAGGUAACACCCGGCCCUGAGGACUCCUUCGGCCUCCGCCCACGGGGAGUGCUGAGACCGCCGGCCCGUGUGCUGGCGACCUUUACCCAGGCUUGGUCAAGGCUUCCUGGCUGGCGCAACUGCACGGGCCUCGCAGUGGACGCCUGCUGGUGACCUUUACUCUGUUAAACCGUCUUCCUGCUCUCCCAGUGAGAGCCUCAAAACUGGGGAAGAUGUACAUUUAAGAUUUGUACAGUGUUAAUGCAUGCAUAUUUCACAAUGAAUGAAGAACAGAAAACCAAAAUUUUAACUCAGUGAAUAGAUGAACUGGGAGAUGUCUGACUCGACUUAGAAUUUCCGAAGCGUGCACACUAUGGCUGAGUUUCAGACUGAAAAACCAGAGAAAACAGGUAGAAGUUACAAGAAAGAAAAAGUCUUUUUAGAAACACCACAAAGAAAAUGAUCAUCAAUCAUUUUCAAAAUGAUCAUCGAUCAUUCCAAAAGUAGAAUGGAUUGCCUGUGUGGAAGGUUUUUGUUUUAUGAGUGUGUGUAUAUGCAUGACUAUAUGUAUGGUACACGUGUGUGCAGUUGCCCUAGGAGGCCAGGAGAGGGCACUGUAUCUUCAGGAACUGGAAUUACUGGUGGUUACAAGCUGCCUAAUGUAGGAUAUGGGAGCCAGACUCACAUCUUGAGAACCAAACUUGCGUCCUUAGGAAGAACAGCAAGUGCUCUUAACAGAUGAAGUAUCUUUCCAGGCCUACUUUGGAAGUGUUUAAACUGAGAUGAGGUGGCUUUCUGUCCAUUUCCCUAAGAAUAAAGAAACAAGUUUGUGUGUGUGAGAAUAAAGAAACAAGUUUGUGUGUGUGUUUCUACUC
RNAcentral lists this long non-coding RNA (928 nucleotides) under Mus caroli (Ryukyu mouse). RNAcentral describes it as "lncRNA (MGP_CAROLIEiJ_G0003855.1)". Lineage: Eukaryota; Metazoa; Chordata; Mammalia; Rodentia; Muridae. The record is from RNAcentral.